UCGGAUUGGUGCCUUCGGGAACUUAGAUACAGGUGCUGCAUGGCUGUCGUCAGCUCGUGUCGUGAGAUGUUGGGUUAAGUCCGCAACGAGCGCAACCCUUUUCCUUAUUUGCCAGCGGGUAAUGCCGGGAACUUUAAGGAUACUGCCAGUGACAAACUGGAGGAAGGCGGGGACGACGUCAAGUCAUCAUGGCCCUUACGGCCAGGGCUACACACGUGCUACAAUGGUCGGUACAAAGGGUUGCUACCUCGCGAGAGGAUGCUAAUCUCAAAAAGCCGAUCGUAGUCCGGAUCGCAGUCUGCAACUCGACUGCGUGAAGUCGGAAUCGCUAGUAAUCGCGGAUCAGAAUGCCGCGGUGAAUACGUUCCCGGGCCUUGUACACACCGCCCGUCACACCAUGGGAGUUUGUUGCACCAGAAGUAGGUAGUCUAACCGCAAGGAGGACGCUUACCACGGUGUGGCCGAUGACUGGGGUGAAGUCGUAACAAGGUAGGCGUAGAUGA
Molecule: ribosomal RNA, 503 nt
Filed under: uncultured bacterium
Lineage: Bacteria
Description: bacterial SSU rRNA
Rfam family: Bacterial small subunit ribosomal RNA
Source: RNAcentral